UGUGCACAUGUGUACGUGUGCAUGCACGUGUACCCACGCUGUGUGCACAUGUGUACGCGUGCAUGCACGUGUACCCACGCUGUGUGCACAUGUGUACGCGUGCAUGCACGUGUACCCACGCUGUGUGCACA
This 131-nucleotide small RNA is filed under the name Chlorocebus sabaeus (green monkey). RNAcentral describes it as "Clostridiales-1 RNA (ENSCSAG00000026370.1)". Lineage: Eukaryota; Metazoa; Chordata; Mammalia; Primates; Cercopithecidae. The record is from RNAcentral.